Molecule: ribosomal RNA, 253 nt
Filed under: uncultured bacterium
Lineage: Bacteria
Description: partial 16S ribosomal RNA
Rfam family: Bacterial small subunit ribosomal RNA
Source: RNAcentral
UACGUAGGGAGCAAGCGUUGUCCGGAAUCAUUGGGCGUAAAGCGCGCGUAGGUGGCCCCAUAAGUCCGCUGUGAAAGUCAAAGGCUCAACCUUUGAAAGCCGGUGGAUACUGUGGGACUAGAGUACGGAAGAGGCGAGUGGAAUUCCUGGUGUAGCGGUGAAAUGCGCAGAUAUCAGGAGGAACACCAAUGGCGAAGGCAGCUCGCUGGGACGUGACUGACGCUGAGACGCGAAAGCGUGGGGAGCAAACAGG